UGGGGAAUAUUGGACAAUGGGCGAAAGCCUGAUCCAGCCAUGCCGCGUGUGUGAAGAAGGUCUUCGGAUUGUAAAGCACUUUAAGUUGGGAGGAAGGGCAUUAACCUAAUACGUUAGUGUUUUGACGUUACCGACAGAAUAAGCACCGGCUAACUCUGUGCCAGCAGCCGCGGUAAUACAGAGGGUGCAAGCGUUAAUCGGAAUUACUGGGCGAAAAGCGCGCGUAGGGGGUUUGUUAAGUUGGAUGUGAAAUCCCCGGGCUCAACCUGGGAACUGCAUUCAAAACUGACUGACUAGAGUAUGGUAGAGGGUGGUGGAAUUUCCUGUGUAGCGGUGAAAUGCGUAGAUAUAGGAAGGAACACCAGUGGCGAAGGCGACCACCUGGACUAAUACUGACACUGAGGUGCGAAAGCGUGGGGAGCAAACA
Molecule: ribosomal RNA, 427 nt
Filed under: uncultured bacterium
Lineage: Bacteria
Description: partial 16S ribosomal RNA
Rfam family: Bacterial small subunit ribosomal RNA
Source: RNAcentral